Long non-coding RNA from Pungitius pungitius (ninespine stickleback), 1618 nucleotides. RefSeq lists it as uncharacterized. The transcript has 3 exons. The record is from RefSeq and is a predicted model, not a curated record. NCBI's taxonomy places the organism in Eukaryota, Metazoa, Chordata, Actinopteri, Perciformes, Gasterosteidae.
CGUUGAACAGCUGCAGCUCGUAUCAAGUCCGUAUUUUAUAUUUUAAACUGCUAGCUACACACCUAUGCUUAAAUCCAAACGGACUAAACCAAGUGGAAACGCUUUGGUAGAUGCCACGUGCAAAGUCAUGCCACCAUCAAUGGGAAUGGCACAUUGGACACGUGGCUUUCAACUCCAGCGAGGUGGCGGCACGGAUCUCUGCAUGUCUGACUGACAUCUCCCAGUGGAUGUCCGCCCAUCACCUGAAGAUCAACCCCGACAAGACUGAACUACUUCUCUUCCCUGGAAAAAACUCGCCCACUCAGGACCUGACUGUUAACUUUGGCGAACACCGUUAACAUCAGGAGAAUACGACCCCUUCUCACUCAGAAGGCGGCGCAGGUACAGAUUCAGGCUCUUGUCAUCUCUCGCCUCGACUACUGUAACUCUCUGCUGGCGGGUCUCCCUGCUACCGCCAUACGACCACUGCAGCUCAUCCAGAAUGCAGCAGCUCGACUGGUCUUCAACCUUCUGAAAUACUCCCACACCACACCGCUUCUCCGUUCUCUUCAUUGGUUACUAGUGGCUCCCCGCAUCCAGUUCAAAGCAUUGGUACUGACGUACCACGCUGUGAAUGGAUCGGGACCAGUCUACAUCCGGGACAUGGUUAAACCCUACAUCCCAACCCACACACUCCGAUCUGCAUCUGCCACGCUGCUUGUUCCUCCCUCACUGAGAGAAAAGCACUCGACGAGAUCGCGACUCUUUGCUGUCCUGGCUCCCAGAUGGUGGAACGAGCUCUCUGAUGACAUCAGGACUGCAGAGAGCCUCUCCAUCUUCCGUCGAAAACUCAAGACACACCUUUUUAGACUCUACCUUGACUAAAACACUAGCAAACCGUAGCACUAACAAAUGGUAGCACUUAAAUUGUACUUAUAAUGCCACUUAUCUUUAACAUGUUUUGGGCGGUGAUUUAUUCAGUCAUGUUUAGUCAUAUUUUGUUUUUUUUACUUGUCAAUAUGGUUUGGUACAUGCCGAGUUAAUCAAUACACAUUCUAAAGUGCAACGUCCAUAUGUGAAUAAGAGUUGUAUACGUUUAUCAUAGUCAACAUGGUGUGGAAAUAUCCCUUAUGUAGUUGGUCAAUAGGAACUAUAGUAGGCAGAAAUAACAGCUAAGGUAAUUACAGGUGGAUAUUUCUGGGAAUUAACCUUGAUUGAGACUGCAUCUAUGAUAUCUAAGAUAUACAGGACAAGAAAAAUGCACUGGAUGUGUAUAUGUGUUGAAUCAAUUAUACAGACGCAAACUGGAGAACGAGACAAGUGUUGCUGUGAUACUUAUUGUGGUCAUCGUGCCCGAGACCCGUAACAAUUACUCCGCAGGUCUUUUGCAGCGGGGCAACAGCCCGGCGUCGGUGGAUUCCGUUCGCGAGGCCGCAGAUUCAGGUUUGAAUGGAAGCCCCGAGAGUGAUUUGUUUAGUCUCUUUAGUCUUUUUUGACCCGCGAGCCCGGCCGACCGCCGCCCCACCCCGACGUGCGAGAAUAGGCGAAGGCCCGUUCAUCGCUGCUUGCAGCUUUAAUUAGGGCCUGAGCCGACUGCAAGUCGGGCGAAAGCCCUAUUGAAAUUGCAAGAAUUUUUCUU